GAAUAUCUUCUGGAAAUUGGAUGUUAAUGAAAAAUCAGGACGUCCCUGCUGGUUCAGUAGACUGUGGAGUAGACACGUUGAUGGUGUUUGAAUAUGAACUGAGAGCAGGCUGGCUGUGUGGCUGCAGUUGGGCAGCUGACUCGAGAACAAGGGGCUCAGGUUUAUGAGGCUGCAGAGAUCAGCAGGGCCUCCAGGAGGACUCAACAUGAAAAACUGUUGAAUUUCAUCAUAAAGGGCCAUGGAGCAGAUGAUCACUUGCUGGUAACUUAGUUCAGCUGCUGUGUCUGAAAAGAUGUCAUCGAAAUGGUUUAAAAAUGAAGUUCCUAAAGGUCACCAGGUAAUGACCUCUAUACAGUAGGAGAUGAGGAGCUGACAGAUGGCCUCUAGAACUACCUGAUGAAGUGCUGUCAAGAGCUGUAGGUACUUUUAGAAAGAUCGACACCCCGAGUUCACACCAUUCUGGAUAUGCUGAUGCCAGAGGAUCAUUUGGCUUCAGUGAAUCUCUGAGUAGAGAGAGUAUCUGUGUGAGUAAGAAGCAGAUGGUCUGUUCAUUGAUGGACCAGCAGACCAUGAGUGGUACGUCAUGUGGUGUUGGGAGCAGACGGUCCUUUC
Molecule: long non-coding RNA, 612 nt
Organism: Polypterus senegalus (gray bichir)
Lineage: Eukaryota; Metazoa; Chordata; Cladistia; Polypteriformes; Polypteridae
Exons: 4
Source: RefSeq, a predicted model, not a curated record